Molecule: long non-coding RNA, 219 nt
Filed under: Medicago truncatula (barrel medic)
Lineage: Eukaryota; Viridiplantae; Streptophyta; Magnoliopsida; Fabales; Fabaceae
Description: long non-coding RNA (MTRU_LNC002560)
Source: RNAcentral
CGCCCUCUUAGGCUGAGUACACUGUGAACUAAUGUGACCCUCUCCGUUGCAAUUAAAGCACACAAUGUCCGUACGAUUGCAAUCAGCUACAACAUGACCUUUCUUGCCACACCGGACACACUUCUUGAUUUCCUCAGGGCAGACGUUGCUUUUGUGGCCUUUCUCACCACAAUUGAAACACACAAUCUCUGCAGCAUCCUUCUUCUUAGGCCGCCUAAC